UACUGAGAACUCAUUUAUUGUUCCAUCAUUGUAAUCACUUAUUAAUCACUCAAUAUUAUCCUCCUAAUAAAAGUCGGUUAGUUUUUAAAUGGCCAAAAACAAAAUUACGACUCUUGUGUGUUUUCUGUGUGUAUUUUGAUGACUGAACUAUUUUGAACAACUGGGGCCUUAUGAACCUAUAUAUUGCUCUCAGUUAAAAUCAUGGUUGUGAUUUUGAUGAGGGGUGUAUCUACACCCUAAACACUGUUUAUUUGUGUGAGACCCAAGGAACAAUCAAAAGAAAUUGUCAUCAGGAAGAAAACUGUUGGACAGUAGAAACUGAAAGAGAUGUUUAAUAAAAUGAAGUUUCAUUAGUUGCUGGAAUCAAAUGUUUAGUUUAAAUCAUCUUGUUACCAUCUUACUAUAAAAAAGAAUAAAAAGGUUGUGACUGAAUCUAAACUGAUCAUUUCCAUGGUUUACUGAUAAAUGUGUAGCAUGGAUGUUUGUUAGUAACUGACUUUUCUCUCAAUAAUUUACAGUAUGAAUAUAUUUCUGCUGUUAGUUUAGUGUUAAAGUUCAUAUUUUGUUAUGAAAACGUCCUAGAGGACAAGAGCUCUGUAGUCAUCUAGGUCCAGGUAUUUGAAUGUUCUGUUGGAGUUACACAAUCGUUACAAUGUUCAACUCCUGUGAUGAUUCUGCUCUGUGCCUGCCCUGCUCUGCUUAAUUGGUUCCAAGGCUCUCCACUUCCCACAGCUGUUUCCACUCUCCUGAUGAGGCUCACUGGCUUUAAAAGGCUCAUUCUGAGACUUGGUCUUCGCUGGAGCAUCACGCCUUCUGGGUACCUCUCCUGGCCACCUUGCUUUAAUGUUUUACAGCAAGUAUUAUUUCUCUAGAAAUUCUAAGUGUGGUUUUUGGAACAUUGUUGUUUUUAUUCCCCUUGUUCUCAGACCUUAACCAACCUCCUUGCCAGUGUCAGCCUCCUGGAAUCAGCUUACAAGUUGGACUCACCUGUGGAACUAACUGUUGGACUUUUUGGACUGCCUCUUCUGCUUCUUGAUUCUUGGAACCUCAGGUCUCUAUUGCCACGUGCCUCCUCCCAAGUUGUCUGCCUCCAGAGUUACUUUCUUGCUGAACCUAGCCUCCCCGGAUCUUGUCCCCUUUGUUGCACAUUCUAGUUUUUUGUUGUUCACCACAUUGUAAAUAAAUCACUUGAAUUUUA
Molecule: long non-coding RNA, 1198 nt
Organism: Austrofundulus limnaeus
Lineage: Eukaryota; Metazoa; Chordata; Actinopteri; Cyprinodontiformes; Rivulidae
Exons: 2
Source: RefSeq, a predicted model, not a curated record